AUUGAACGCUGGCGGAAUGCUUUACACAUGCAAGUCGAACGGCAGCACGGGGCAACCUGGUGGCGAGUGGCGAACGGGUGAGUAAUACAUCGGAACGUGCCCAAUCGUGGGGGAUAACGUAGCGAAAGUUACGCUAAUACCGCAUACGAUCUACGGAUGAAAGCGGGGGAUCGCAAGACCUCGCGCGAAUGGAGCGGCCGAUGUCAGAUCAGGUAGUUGGUGGGGUAAAGGCUCACCAAGCCGACGAUCUGUAGCUGGUCUGAGAGGACGACCAGCCACACUGGGACUGAGACACGGCCCAGACUCCUACGGGAGGCAGCAGUGGGGAAUUUUGGACAAUGGGCGCAAGCCUGAUCCAGCCAUUCCGCGUGCAGGAUGAAGGCCUUCGGGUUGUAAACUGCUUUGUACGGAACGAAACGGUUCUCUCUAAUACAGGGGCGUAAUGACGGUACCGUAAGAAUAAGCACCGGCUAACUACGUGCCAGCAGCCGCGGUAAU
Molecule: ribosomal RNA, 498 nt
Filed under: uncultured bacterium
Lineage: Bacteria
Description: bacterial SSU rRNA
Rfam family: Bacterial small subunit ribosomal RNA
Source: RNAcentral